UACGAAGGGGGCUAGCGUUGUUCGGAAUCACUGGGCGUAAAGGGCGCGUAGGCGGCCGCUCAAGUCGGGGGUGAAAGCCUGUGGCUUAACCACAGAAUUGCCUUCGAUACUGUUUGGCUUGAGACCGGAAGAGGUGAGUGGAACUGCGAGUGUAGAGGUGAAAUUCGUAGAUAUUCGGAAGAACACCAGUGGCGAAGGCGACUUACUGGACGAUUGUUGACGCUGAGGUGCGAAAGCGUGGGGAGCAAACAGG
RNAcentral lists this ribosomal RNA (253 nucleotides) under uncultured bacterium. Its description in RNAcentral is "partial 16S ribosomal RNA". It matches the Rfam family "Bacterial small subunit ribosomal RNA", at positions 524 to 776 of the family's 1533-position model. The record is from RNAcentral.